UACGAAGGGUGCUAGCGUUGUUCGGAAUUACUGGGCGUAAAGGGCGCGUAGGCGGUUUGACAAGUUGGAUGUGAAAGCCCGGGGCUUAACCCCGGAAUUGCAUUCAAGACUGUCUUACUUGAAUUCGGUAGAGGUUGGUGGAAUUCCCAGUGUAGAGGUGAAAUUCGUAGAGAUUGGGAAGAACACCCGUGGCGAAGGCGGCCAACUGGACCGACAUUGACGCUGAGGCGCGAAAGCGUGGGGAUCAAACAGG
This 253-nucleotide ribosomal RNA is filed under the name uncultured prokaryote. RNAcentral describes it as "partial 16S ribosomal RNA". It matches the Rfam family "Bacterial small subunit ribosomal RNA", at positions 524 to 776 of the family's 1533-position model. The record is from RNAcentral.